UUAGAGUUUGAUCAUGGCUCAGGACGAACGCUGGCGGCGUGCUUAACACAUGCAAGUCGAACGAUGAACCACUUCGGUGGGGAUUAGUGGCGAACGGGUGAGUAACACGUGGGCAAUCUGCCCUGCACUCUGGGACAAGCCCUGGAAACGGGGUCUAAUACCGGAUAAUACCUGCUGAGGCAUCUUAGCGGGUUGAAAGCUCCGGCGGUGCAGGAUGAGCCCGCGGCCUAUCAGCUUGUUGGUGGGGUGAUGGCCUACCAAGGCGACGACGGGUAGCCGGCCUGAGAGGGCGACCGGCCACACUGGGACUGAGACACGGCCCAGACUCCUACGGGAGGCAGCAGUGGGGAAUAUUGCACAAUGGGCGAAAGCCUGAUGCAGCGACGCCGCGUGAGGGAUGACGGCCUUCGGGUUGUAAACCUCUUUCAGGAGGGACGAAGCCACUCGGGUUAAUAGCCCAGAGGGUGACGGUACCUCCAGAAGAAGCCCCGGCUAACUACGUGCCAGCAGCCGCGGUA
RNAcentral lists this ribosomal RNA (518 nucleotides) under uncultured bacterium. Its description in RNAcentral is "bacterial SSU rRNA". It matches the Rfam family "Bacterial small subunit ribosomal RNA", at positions 1 to 522 of the family's 1533-position model. The record is from RNAcentral.